Molecule: long non-coding RNA, 579 nt
Organism: Manduca sexta (tobacco hornworm)
Lineage: Eukaryota; Metazoa; Arthropoda; Insecta; Lepidoptera; Sphingidae
Exons: 2
Source: RefSeq, a predicted model, not a curated record
GAGCCUGUGUUUUGUACCGCCGCGCCGGUAAGCAUUGACUCCGCUAAUAAGCAGAAUAUUAUGCAUAUCAAUCACAUUUAUUCGAUUCAAAACUAAAAUAAAACAUUCAAAAUUUAUCUCCCCCGAGGAAGCAAAAUCCUACAUGUGUCCGCGAUGCUUACUAAUAGGUACAAUAAUAUUACUAACUGAUACCUGCAUUGAACACUACGCCUACUCGAAAACGUCAAUAAACAGUAGAGACGUUGAAAGAAAACAAACUACUUUUACAUUAUUAGCGCUAUUUUAUGAGCGUCAUGUGUAAUUCAGAACCUAUAUUGGAGCUUCGUACGGAGUGACCUUCUUCAGCUGUUUUUACGUAUUCUACGAAUUGUGCUGUGGCCGCGUCCUGAUCCAGACGAUCGUCGAGGCGUGUUCCCGUCCUAGGCUGCGACAGCAAAAAGUCUGAAGCGCAGAAGGAGUUGGACCCGCGAAUCCAGGGGUGUGGCAUUUAAUUUCGGGGACGAGUAAGGAUGUGAGACCGAGGGCGAAACCCACAACCACAAACUUUAUUUUUUAAUAUUAUAUAUUUAUUUUUGAUAA